This 480-nucleotide ribosomal RNA is filed under the name uncultured bacterium. Its description in RNAcentral is "bacterial SSU rRNA". It matches the Rfam family "Bacterial small subunit ribosomal RNA", at positions 30 to 507 of the family's 1533-position model. The record is from RNAcentral.
UUGAACGCUGGCGGCAUGCCUUACACAUGCAAGUCGAACGGUAGAGUAGCAAUACUUGAGAGUGGCGAACGGGUGAGUAAUAUAUCGGAACGUGCCCAGUCGUGGGGGAUAACGUAGCGAAAGUUACGCUAAUACCGCAUACGAUCUAAGGAUGAAAGCGGGGGAUUCGCAAGAACCUCGCGCGAUUGGAGCGGCUGAUAUCAGAUUAGGUUGUUGGUGAGGUAAAAGCUCACCAAGCCGACGAUCUGUAGCUGGUUUGAGAGAACGACCAGCCACACUGGGACUGAGACACGGCCCAGACUCCUACGGGAGGCAGCAGUGGGGGAAUUUUGGACAAUGGGCGCAAGCCUGAUCCAGCAAUGCCGCGUGCAGGAUGAAGGCCUUCGGGUUGUAAACUGCUUUUGUACGGAACGAAACGGUGAGCUCUAAUACAGUUCGCUAAUGACGGUACCGUAAGAAUAAGCACCGGCUAACUCUGUG